AUUCAGCCGACGAGUUCCAAAAAGGACAAAACGCGCGUCAUGGAU
Molecule: non-coding RNA, 45 nt
Organism: Schistosoma curassoni
Lineage: Eukaryota; Metazoa; Platyhelminthes; Trematoda; Strigeidida; Schistosomatidae
Source: Rfam